GGUAACCUGCGGAGGGAUCAUUACUGAGCGAGGGCGCGAGCCCGACCUCCAACCCCAUGUUUUUCAACCAUGUUGCCUCGGGGGCGACCCGGCCACCGCGCCGGGGCCCCCGGCGGACCCCUCAACUCUGCAUCUCUGCGUCUGAGUCACAAAAUAAAAUCAAUCAAAACUUUCAACAACGGAUCUCUUGGUUCUGGCAUCGAUGAAGAACGCAGCGAAAUGCGAUAAGUAAUGUGAAUUGCAGAAUUCAGUGAAUCAUCGAAUCUUUGAACGCACAUUGCGCCCUCUGGUAUUCCGGAGGGCAUGCCUGUUCGAGCGUCAUUACACCACUCCAGCCUCGCUGGGUAUUGGGCGCCGCGGCCUCCGCGCGCCUUAAUGUCUCCGGCCGAGCCGACCGUCUCUAAGCGUUGUGGCACAACUGUUUCGCUUUCGGGACCGGUCUGGCGACGCGCCGUUAAACCCUUUCACCAAAGGUUGACCUCGGAUCAGGUAGGGAUACCCGCUGAACUUAAGCAUAUCAAUAAGC
This 526-nucleotide ribosomal RNA is filed under the name Teratosphaeria gauchensis. Its description in RNAcentral is "eukaryotic LSU rRNA". The stretch from base 168 to 321 matches the Rfam family "5.8S ribosomal RNA". The record is from RNAcentral. Lineage: Eukaryota; Fungi; Ascomycota; Dothideomycetes; Mycosphaerellales; Teratosphaeriaceae.